UGCAGCGGAGCCCUGUAGCUCAGUGGUUAGAGCAUUUGCUUCAUGAGCAAAAGGACCCGGGUUCGAUUCCCGAGCAGUGCAA
This is a non-coding RNA of Callorhinchus milii (elephant shark), 82 nucleotides long. NCBI's taxonomy places the organism in Eukaryota, Metazoa, Chordata, Chondrichthyes, Chimaeriformes, Callorhinchidae. The record is from the annotation of a RefSeq genome assembly.